GCCUAGGAAACCUAGAGUUUUGCUGGCUGAAUUUUUUACAGGCUGAAUUCAGCUGCCCCCUGACUUCACAGCUGUUCCUGCUGCCCUAAAGUGUCUGUCCCUCCAGCUCUGUCCCCUCAGCUGGGUCUGCAACGCUGAGUCUGGGAUUUUCUUAUGAAAAUGCCUGAUGGGUGGGAGGAAGAUCUGGAGUGGAGAUUCCUGUCCUGUCAUUUUACUGGCUGAGGAGUCACUCGCUACAGGCUCUUUCCCCAGAAGCUGACGGAAGAAACUCAAGCGCUGUUGUUUCUGCCCUCCCAAGUCUGCUGUCUCGGCUGCUAAUGGAUUGCUUUCCUCUGAGCUUCCACCCUGGAGAGACCCCC
Molecule: long non-coding RNA, 359 nt
Filed under: Suricata suricatta (meerkat)
Lineage: Eukaryota; Metazoa; Chordata; Mammalia; Carnivora; Herpestidae
Description: lncRNA (ENSSSUG00005021491.1)
Source: RNAcentral